CCCUAUUUAACUGCUCAAGGACUGAGACAGUUGUACAAGUUCAGAGCAAAACAAAAUGUAACCAAAACCUGGAAUUUGCGUUAUAUGUCUGUUCAACUAUAAUUUACCUCUUUCAUAUUAAAUGCACCCACACUUAUUACAUAUUUUUGACAGAGUGCAAGCCUAAUAUAUAGAAAGUAUAAAGGCAGUGAAGGGGUUAACCCUAAAC
Pelobates cultripes (western spadefoot toad) is the source of this 208-nucleotide non-coding RNA. The record is from the annotation of a GenBank genome assembly. Lineage: Eukaryota; Metazoa; Chordata; Amphibia; Anura; Pelobatidae.